RNAcentral lists this long non-coding RNA (845 nucleotides) under Ficedula albicollis (Collared flycatcher). RNAcentral describes it as "lncRNA (ENSFALG00000026274.1)". The record is from RNAcentral. Lineage: Eukaryota; Metazoa; Chordata; Aves; Passeriformes; Muscicapidae.
GUUCAUCCAGAGGACAAGGCCACAUGAAUUGUUUGCAGAGCUCCAGCAAAUAAACAGCGUUGCUCCUGAUUCCUCACUUGCCCAUUUUGAUCCAGUGGCCAGCUCAGAGGCCACAGAGCUCAGCUGCAGGGGGGUGACAGCUUGUUUUGGACCAUUCCCAUCCUCCCAGGUGGUGUGAAGGAGCACCAUGGAAGGAACUUCUGUCUGGAACCUUUCAAUUAUGGAUUUGGGAGGCAGUUUCCCCUAACAGCAAGCACCCAGCAGCCGGCAGCUGAUGGCUCAGUUGCUUUGCCUCAUGCACAAAACUUUCCACUUGUGCUUUUCAUCUGCCCAGCGGAGGGAAGUGCCUGCUCUGUGUCCUGCAGAAGGGAAACGUCUGCCCUCCUGUGUCCAAAGUCCCCUCCGGAGAGCAGCCCGGGGUGCACUGACCUCACGGGCAGCUGGACUGAAAUGAAAUGAAAUGACGUUAGCAUCAAUUAUCCUCCGGGACGGGGAGGCUGCCGGGAGAACGGACGGAACGGCGCAGAUUUCCUCAACGCUGAAUAACAAAUGAGAACAACAGCUUGGCUCGGUGGCUGUGUGUUCCCAGAGAGCUUCCAAAGCCCCACCUGCUCCAGCCCUUUGGGUUUGGGGUGCCAACUGCUGUGUGGGGGGGGGGGGGGGGGGGGGGGGGGGGGGGGGGGGGGGGGGGGGUCACUGCUCCGGGUACCACGGUGAGGCAGCGAGGGAGAUGCUCCUGGGGGAUAAACCUCAUUUUUGGAGUCUUGGUUGGUGGCUGCCGUGCUGGGGGAGAUUUUUUUGAGUGCACCAAGGGGGGGGGGGGGGGGGGGGGGGGGGGGGGGGGG